Arachis ipaensis is the source of this 807-nucleotide long non-coding RNA. RefSeq lists it as uncharacterized. Lineage: Eukaryota; Viridiplantae; Streptophyta; Magnoliopsida; Fabales; Fabaceae. The record is from RefSeq and is a predicted model, not a curated record.
CUCAUGACACAAAGAAAAUAAUUUGUAUUUAACAUUUUACGUAAAAAAAAAUAUUAUUCCCUUUGUUCAUCUUUAUCUAUCAGUUAUUUGUUUCGUAAAAUAUUUAUUUCUUUCAUUAUUUUAUGUAAAUAAUUUUUUUAUAAUUAAACCAAAUUCUCAAUUGUACCUAUCACUAAUUCGAUAUUGCUAUUUAUUGAUAUAAGUUUGAUUUGAUAAAAUUUUUAUAUUCUUUAUUAUUUGAAUUUGGCCCACCUUUCGAGAUUUUUCCUAGGGGGUUCAGCUGGGGUUUUAUUUGUUGGCCGUGAAAGCUGAAAAGGAAGCCCUAAUUUCAGCUCUGAUAAGUAUUUUGGGUAAUUUCUGCGUAGAAUGGCGAAGGAUCUACACACAUCGACGCAACCAUGGAUCCUCGAUACGGUUCCUUUAAUAGUGGUUAUUCUAAUCGGAGCUCACGUCGUCGCCCUGGUAUAUUGGAUUUAUAGAUUAGCCACUCAGAAGCAGCCUCAGCAGAGGAGAAAGACUCACUGAACAACAAGGUCCCUGAACCCUAAUUAUUUAGAUAGCUAGAUUAGUAUUGUUGCCUUGCUCCAUAGACACUGUAGAUUACACAGAAAUUUAAUGUUGCUUAGGAAUUUAUGCUGAUGCCAUGUAUUGGACGCCAAGUUCGAAAUUAAGCAAAUUUAGUAUUGGUCUCUUAUAUGAUGCAUACUUCUGUCACUAAUUUGCUAUAUCAUUUUAUGAGUAUGAAAUAGGUUUCUGUUUGUUUUGGCUGUAAUAAUAGUAUUAACAUGACAGCUCAGUUUGAGUUAA